GCGCCUGUGGCUCAAUGGAUAGAGCGUCUGACUACGGAUCAGGAGGCUGGGGGUUCGAAUCCCUUCAGGCGCG
Molecule: transfer RNA, 73 nt
Filed under: Candidatus Opitulatrix roisinitermitis
Lineage: Bacteria; Bacillati; Actinomycetota; Actinomycetes; Bifidobacteriales; Bifidobacteriaceae
Description: tRNA-Arg
Rfam family: tRNA
About the family: Transfer RNA (tRNA) molecules are approximately 80 nucleotides in length. Their secondary structure includes four short double-helical elements and three loops (D, anti-codon, and T loops).
Source: RNAcentral